ACAAUGGAGAGUUUGAUCCUGGCUCAGGACGAACGCUAGCGGCAGGCCUAAUACAUGCAAGUCGAACGGUAAGGCCCCUUCGGGGGUACACGAGUGGCGCACGGGUGCGUAACGCGUAUGCAACCUACCCCGCAGUGGGGGAUAGUCGCGGGAAACUGCGAAUAAUACCCCGUACGCUCCAGGGAACACAUGUUUCUUGGAGGAAAGCUCCGGCGUUGUGGGAUGGGCAUGCGUCUGAUUAGCUAGUUGGUGAGGUAACGGCUCACCAAGGCGACGAUCAGUAACUGGUCUGAGAGGAUGAUCAGUCACACGGGCACUGAGACACGGGCCCGACUCCUACGGGAGGCAGCAGUAAGGAAUAUUGGUCAAUGGGGGCAACCCUGAACCAGCCAUGCCGCGUGGUGGAUGACGGCCCUCUGGGUUGUAAACACCUUUUAUGUGAGACUAAUACCUGGCUAUACGCCGGAUUGCAGGUAUCACAUGAAUAAGCACCGGCUAACUACGUGCCAGCAGCCGCGGUAAUACGUAGGGUGCAAGCGUUGUCCGGAUUUAUUGGGUUUAAAGGGUGCGUAGGCGGCAUGUUAAGUUCGUGGUGAAAUCGUUCGGCUCAACCGGAUCUCCGCCAUGGAUACUGGCAUGCUUGAGUGCGUCCGAGGAGGUUAGAAUGCGUGGUGUAGCGGUGAAAUGCAUAGAUAUCACGCAGAAUACCGAUUGCGAAGGCAGACCUCUAGGGCGUAACUGACGCUGAGGCACGAAAGCGUGGGGAGCGAACAGGAUUAGAUACCCUGGUAGUCCACGCUGUAAACGAUGAUCACUAGGUGUUCGGUAGAAUUAACUGCUGAGUGCCCAAGCGAAAGCGAUAAGUGAUCCACCUGGGGAGUACGUCGGCAACGAUGAAACUCAAAGGAAUUGACGGGGGCCCGCACAAGCGGUGGA
RNAcentral lists this ribosomal RNA (936 nucleotides) under Bacteroidota bacterium. RNAcentral describes it as "bacterial SSU rRNA". It matches the Rfam family "Bacterial small subunit ribosomal RNA", at positions 1 to 936 of the family's 1533-position model. The record is from RNAcentral. Lineage: Bacteria; Pseudomonadati; Bacteroidota.